Ailuropoda melanoleuca (giant panda) is the source of this 2100-nucleotide long non-coding RNA. RefSeq lists it as uncharacterized. The transcript has 4 exons. The record is from RefSeq and is a predicted model, not a curated record. NCBI's taxonomy places the organism in Eukaryota, Metazoa, Chordata, Mammalia, Carnivora, Ursidae.
UCCUGGGGUCUGAAAGGCAUCUGCCUCCCGCUCCAGCAUGAACGUGAUGCUGGAGAUGCAGCCACCUCUAUGCUUUUGAUCCCCGAGGGAUUCAUGAAGCCAAGAAACCUGUGCCAGCAUCUGCCUUCCACUGAGCUUCUUGUCAUGGAGAGCUAGAAAGAGAACAUUCGAACUAUAAUGAGUCCCUUCUGGGAGAGUUUUAUUCAUCGCGCUGUACUCAAGUCAAAAACAACUGUCCAAAAGGUUUCGAUGGUCCAAACACAUUCCUGCUCAUUCGGUUGCAAACUCCUUGAAGAGAGAACCAUGACUGUCUUCCUCCGAGUGGCUUCUCUUCAGUGCCUGGCAUGGUGUUGAGGAUUUGUGAAGUCGGUUGGUUUGGGUGUGGAGAAAGCACCAGAGAAAGCCUGCUCCUCAGUUUAUGCUGACCUCUUGCUCAGAGGGAGCGUGUGCUGGAGAUGAGAGAGAAUGACAUCCAGCGAAGCCCCAGUGACGCCGCUCUGACUGUCCUCAGAUGGUGGCUCGAAGAGAAUAGAGUCAGCAAGAAUCUGGAAAUGGAAAAAUCUGGGUUUGAAGCUUGACUGUAGUAUUUGCUACCUUAUAACAUUGGGCAAAUAAUCUCUCUGUUUUUUUGUUAGGAAAAUUGGAAUAAUACAUCUUUUGAGGGGGUAUUCAUGAGGUAACAUGUUAGAUAGGACCUAACGCAGGGGCUGAGUGUCUUUCCCAUAAUUCCCUUCCUGUGCCAGGGACCAGUGACCUUUUUUUCUGAACUUUGCCCUGGAACUAAUUUCUGUUACCCUUGAUGUGACCUUUUUGAAAAAAUCCAUAAAGAAGUUCCUGUGAGGAAAGUCUGGGGAUUCAAAUGCCCAGAGGGAACUGGAUUGCUGUGGGUGGUUAGUCCAAGGCUCCCUUCUCAUUAGAUCUAAGGCCUAACCAUUAGCACUCCUCGUCAUAUGUAAACACACACACACACACACACACACACACACACUUAAUUUCAAUAUAAAUUUGUAUCUGUAUAAGUAACCAUAAACUAUUGUAUUAGUUUUUUAUUGCUGUCACAAUUACUUGAAACAAUAUGAUAAAACAGAUGGGUCUCACAGAGCUAAAAUCAAGGCGUUGGCAGGGAGGCCUGUUCCUUCCGGCUUCUCGAGACUUCCUACAUUCCUAGGCUCAUGGCUUCUGCCUCCUUAAAGGCGGCAGCGGCAGCCUACGUCCUCCUCACAUUGCUAUCUCUCUGGUUCUCCCACUACGGCCAGGCAACAUCUCCUUUUAAGCAUCCAUGUGAUUAUAUUGGCCCCCCUGGAUAAACCAGAAUAAGUUCCACAUCUUAAAGUCACUAACCUUACUCGCAUCUCCAAAGUCCCUUUUGCCACAUAAGAUAUGCGCAAACUUGCAGGGUUAGGGCAUGGGCAUUUUUUUGGGUGGGGGGAAUUAUUCCAUCUGCCACGAUUCUGAGGCAUGUAUUUCAAUCCUGAGGCAUGCAGAAGGCAUAUACGACUGAGAAUUUCUAAGCCACCUCAGUCUAUAAAAUGAAUCCACCCCUUUUGCAAACUUCUGACACUUUGAAACUCUUCUCAGGCUAACGUGCCUGGCCUCCUGCCUCCUCUAAACUGCAUUCCUGAGAAGUCUCGAAACAACUACCAUAAAAAAAACUCUCUGAGUCUCCUAUUUCUGUCUGAACCACCACCGUCUCGUGCUCUGCUAAACUCUUACCCUUCGUGUUGGGGCAGGAAUAGGCACUUGACCUAAUUUGGUCCUGUUGCCAGGCAUCCUGGACUUGAAUGGGAGUCAUAGGGAAGAGGUGUUUUCCUUCCCUGUUUAUCUUGUAAUAGAGGAUGGGGUGAGGCUGGUCUAUCAAUGGCCGCCACAUGCACCGUGGGAUGAAGCCAACAUAACAGAGUGAGAGAAAACAUGAAGAAAAGGUAGAUCCUAUUAGCUUUGAUUGCCACUCAAAUUCCCACCAUUUCUGAAGUUGAACAUCCACGAACUUGUCGAUUAUAUGUUACAAAAUGUUUAAGAUCAUUAGCCAUCAGGGAAAUUCAAAUCAAAACCACACUGAGAUACCACCUUACGCCAGUUAGAAUGGCAAAAAUUUGAAAA